RNAcentral lists this ribosomal RNA (450 nucleotides) under uncultured bacterium. Its description in RNAcentral is "bacterial SSU rRNA". It matches the Rfam family "Bacterial small subunit ribosomal RNA", at positions 328 to 794 of the family's 1533-position model. The record is from RNAcentral.
AGACCAGACUCCUACGGGAGGCAGCAGUGGGGAAUAUUGCACAAUGGGGGAAACCCUGAUGCAGCGACGCCGCGUGAGCGAUGAAGUCUUUCGGUAUGUAAAGCUCUAUCAGCAGGGAAGAAGAUGACGGUACCUGACUAAGAAGCCCCGGCUAACUACGUGCCAGCAGCCGCGGUAAUACGUAGGGGGCAAGCGUUAUCCGGAUUCACUGGGUGUAAAGGGAGCGUAGACGGCGACGCAAGUCUGGAGUGAAAGCCCGGGGCCCAACCCCGGGACUGCUCUGGAAACUGCGUCGCUGGAGUACGGGAGGGGCAGGCGGAAUUCCUGGUGUAGCGGUGAAAUGCGUAGAUAUCAGGAGGAACACCGGCGGCGAAGGCGGCCUGCUGGACCGUGACUGACGUUGAGGCUCGAGAGCGUGGGGAGCAAACAGGAUUAGAUACCCCUGUACAU